Molecule: ribosomal RNA, 421 nt
Filed under: uncultured archaeon
Lineage: Archaea
Description: partial 16S ribosomal RNA
Rfam family: Archaeal small subunit ribosomal RNA
Source: RNAcentral
CUACGGGUUGCAGCAGGCGCGAAACCUUUACAAUGUACGUAAGUGCGAUAAGGGAACUCCCAGUGCUCAUGUAAUGCAUGGGCUUUUGUUAAGUGUAAAUAGCUUGGCGAAUAAGUGGUGGGUAAGACGGGUGCCAGCCGCCGCGGUAACACCUGCGCCACGAGUGGCAUUCACGUUUACUGGGCCUAAAGCGUUCGUAGCCGGAUAGAUAAGUCUUAAGUGAAAUCGUUGCGCUUAACAAAACGACGUGCUUGAGAUACUGUUUAUCUAGGGACCGGGAGGGGUUAGGGGUAUUCCAGGGGAGCGGUAAAAUGCUGUAAUCUCUGGAGGACCACCUGUGGCGAAGGCGCCUAACUAGAACGGGUCCGACAGUGAGGAACGAAAGCCAGGGGAGCAAAACGGAUUAGAUACCCGGGUAGUC